This is a long non-coding RNA of Peromyscus maniculatus bairdii (prairie deer mouse), 1621 nucleotides long. RefSeq lists it as uncharacterized. The record is from RefSeq and is a predicted model, not a curated record. Lineage: Eukaryota; Metazoa; Chordata; Mammalia; Rodentia; Cricetidae.
AGCUGGCACCCCGCCAUCUCCCCCGAGCAGGGGGAGAAGGAGGAGGCUGCUAGCGUGAGAGCGCGGACUCCCGGAGAAGAGGAAGCCAAGGUUGGCCAUGCUUGGAGGCUCCUUGUACCGUCCUAAGGGAUGAAAAGGCCUGCUUCGGAUGUUUUGAGAGGAGGGUUUGAUAUAUGAGCUCGUGUCUUUCAUCAGAAUGUUCUCGAAGACGAGUAGAGCCUUGGAUGCAGGAACUUGUAUAUAGCCUACAUUGGCUAUGUAGCAGGCUGUCCUUGAACUUCUUGCCUUCACCUUCCAAGUGUGAGGAUCACAGAUUUCUACAUCUAAAUUAUAAGACGGCGCCAGUGACAUACGAUGUCACCUCGCUUCACAUAGGUAAGGACGGAGAUGCGUAGAAGGCACUAAGUUCUCCUCAUGAUCUUGUGAAGAUGCAAGAGGGCAGGCCAGCUAGGUCAGAUUCCUGCUUUCUAUCAUGUGACCUGGCACAGGCCUGUCCUCCGAUUAUCUUCAUGUCCAUUAUCCUUGUCUGUGUCACCUUUCUCUUCCCUUCCCAUCCACCCAUCUGUCCACCCACCACCCAGCUAUCCAUCCGUAUGCUUAUCCAUCUAUCCACACACCCAUCCAUCCAUCCAUCCAUCCAUCCAUCCAUCCAUCCAUCCAUCCAUCCAUCCAUCCAUCCAGAUUAACUGACAAUUAUCUUUUGGUUCAUUGAAAUUCCUUAAAAUUAAGUAUACAGUUCUGGUAUAAAACAAAAUAUGACCUACUAUAGCUGAAAAAUAAUCACAGUGUACAAUGUCAUUUUCAGUUGCUAAGAGGCAGAGCAUUUGCCCCGGUGUGUCCUGCUUGCCUGCCCUCUGAAGCAAUCAAUGCAAGGCUCAUUGAACCCCACUUUACAUUCACUGAAGAAGCACUGAGAGGCUCUUUUCUCUUCCGUUUUGAAUUGGUACCCUUAAGUGGAAGGUCUGAUGUGGAAAAGUGCAAGCAAAUUGGACAUGCCAAUAAAUACCAUAGAACUUACUGCAGAUUACCAAAACUGUACAUGUAUGUACACCUCACCCAACUGAGGUUCCUCCCUUAGGAAUAGACCUCAAAAGCAUUACCAUGGGGGCAUCCCAGAGUCCUAGAGGAGUGGUCUCAGCGAGCGAAGGAUGGGCGGGCUCUUCUGCUCCUGUUCUGGGGACCUGGGCCCAAGUCCCCACUGCUCUCUGUAGUCUCUUCCUUCUUCCUCACUUUGAGGCGAGUGAGCAACUUGAUUAACCAGACAUCCCACUCUUCUGGCAGGAGCAGCAGGAGGAAGCCCAGGCCGAUAAUGAUGAUGGCUAUGACCCGGACUCCGUUGAAGACUAUCUGACUGAUGAUCAUGUGAGUGCCGGUGGCGGGGCACAGCGUGGUCAAAGGACAACAUUUGGGAGUCAGUUCUCCUUCCCCCUGCAGGUCCCAGGAAUCUAACCUCGGUCACCAGGCAUAGUGACAGAGGUUACACAUGCCUUGUGAGCAGCCACAGGAAGAUUCGAUGGGAGUGGCCAUGUGAAAGUGUGCUCUCGAGUGUAUGUAAGUCCACAAGAUGGUGUGUUUCUAAUGAACAGAGACAGAACUCCAUGAAACGAUGCUUACCUGCGUU